RNAcentral lists this ribosomal RNA (637 nucleotides) under uncultured bacterium. RNAcentral describes it as "bacterial SSU rRNA". It matches the Rfam family "Bacterial small subunit ribosomal RNA", at positions 202 to 839 of the family's 1533-position model. The record is from RNAcentral.
GAAAACUCCGGUGGUAAUGGAUGGGCAUGCGUUGUAUUAGUUAGUUGGUGGGGUAACGGCUCACCAAGACAACGAUACAUAGGGGGACUGAGAGGUUAACCCCCCACAUUGGUACUGAGACACGGACCAAACUCCUACGGGAGGCAGCAGUGAGGAAUAUUGGUCAAUGGACGCAAGUCUGAACCAGCCAUGCCGCGUGCAGGAAGACGGCUCUAUGAGUUGUAAACUGCUUUUGUACGAGGGUAAACGCAGAUACGUGUAUCUGUCUGAAAGUAUCGUACGAAUAAGGAUCGGCUAACUCCGUGCCAGCAGCCGCGGUAAUACGGAGGAUUCAAGCGUUAUCCGGAUUUAUUGGGUUUAAAGGGUGCGUAGGCGGUCGGAUAAGUUAGAGGUGAAAUCCCGGGGCUCAACUUCGGAAUUGCCUCUGAUACUGUUCGGCUAGAGAGUAGUUGCGGUAGGCGGAAUGUAUGGUGUAGCGGUGAAAUGCUUAGAGAUCAUACAGAACACCGAUUGCGAAGGCAGCUUACCAAGCUACUUCUGACGUUGAGGCACGAAAGCGUGGGGAGCAAACAGGAUUAGAUACCCUGGUAGUCCACGCAGUAAACGAUGAUAACUCGUUGUCGGCGAUACAGUGUCG